CAGGGUCAAAAUCAGUCAAAAUCGCCUACGCCCAAUUACGAGCCGCGAUUCCUCACUGCGGCCAGCGACUUGGCCGCAGCAUCUCCGCCGCGCACGGCCUCCUCACCGCGGUCGACGGCCUCGCCCCAGCGCAAACGACGUUGUACCGCCGUCGCGCGUCACCGCCCGUUGCCACCAGAUAAAAAAUCACCACGGGCACAUCAGCCCUAGCCGUCGCCACCUACGAUGCUGCUCCGCGACACCUCCAUCGCCGAGACCCACCGCCGUUAGCCAAGUGACCUUUGGCAACACCAUCAACCCCGGCCACGGGCAAGUGCGCGGCCGAGUUCCACCGCCUCGACUCACUGUCCGCAACGAUCCUUCCUGCCGCGCCGAGCGAUCGGCGACAUCCCUCUCCUGGCUUGAUUCCUGUGCGGCUGCCGCUCAUAUGCAGAGCCGCCACCCACGGCAGAACGCCGCCACCAAUAGGGUCGCCGCCCCCGUCUGUGCCGCCAUCGCCCACAACAAGGCCGCACCCACAACCGGCGGCACCCCUUCUGACGCUCUUCCGUUCCGACUCCGCCGUCCGUGGAUUCCACUCGCGUACACGCGGCUAUCCUGGAUCGCCCACAAACAAGUGAGCAGGACGGAGUAGAAUCGGGCAUAAUUUGAGUCAGAAAAGUCUUGAACAUUGGAUACGAAGAUUGAUUAGCCGAU
RNAcentral lists this long non-coding RNA (696 nucleotides) under Musa acuminata (dwarf banana). RNAcentral describes it as "long non-coding RNA (MACU_LNC004629)". The record is from RNAcentral. Lineage: Eukaryota; Viridiplantae; Streptophyta; Magnoliopsida; Zingiberales; Musaceae.